AACUUUCAACAACGGAUCUCUUGGCUCUCGCAUCGAUGAAGAACGCAGCGAAAUGCGAUAAGUAAUGUGAAUUGCAGAAUUCAGUGAAUCAUCGAAUCUUUGAACGCACCUUGCGCUCCUUGGUAUUCCGAGGAGCAUGCCUGUUUGAGUAUCA
This 154-nucleotide ribosomal RNA is filed under the name Podoserpula ailaoshanensis. Its description in RNAcentral is "5.8S ribosomal RNA". It matches the Rfam family "5.8S ribosomal RNA". Rfam says of the family: 5.8S ribosomal RNA (5.8S rRNA) is a component of the large subunit of the eukaryotic ribosome. It is transcribed by RNA polymerase I as part of the 45S precursor that also contains 18S and 28S rRNA. Functionally, it is thought that 5.8S rRNA may be involved in ribosome translocation. The record is from RNAcentral. Lineage: Eukaryota; Fungi; Basidiomycota; Agaricomycetes; Amylocorticiales; Amylocorticiaceae.